GCCGCGUGAGGGAUGACGGCCUUCGGGUUGUAAACCUCUUUUAGCAGGGAAGAAGCGAGAGUGACGGUACCUGCAGAAAAAGCACCGGCUAACUACGUGCCAGCAGCCGCGGUAAUACGUAGGGUGCAAGCGUUAUCCGGAAUUAUUGGGCGUAAAGAGCUCGUAGGCGGUCUGUCGCGUCUGCUGUGAAAUUCCGAGGCUCAACCUCGGGCUUGCAGUGGGUACGGGCAGACUAGAGUGCGGUAGGGGAGAUUGGAAUUCCUGGUGUAGCGGUGGAAUGCGCAGAUAUCAGGAGGAACACCGAUGGCGAAGGCAGAUCUCUGGGCCGUAACUGACGCUGAGGAGCGAAAGGGUGGGGAGCAAACAGGCUUAGAUACCCUGGUAGUCCACCCCGUAAACGUUGGGAACUAGUUGUGGGGUCCUUUCCACGGAUUCCGUGACGCAGCUAACGCAUUAAGUUCCCCGCCUGGGGAGUACGGCCGCAAGGCUAAAACUCAAAGGAAUUGACGGGGACCCGCACAAGCGGCGGAGCAUGCGGAUUAAUUCGAUGCAACGCGAAGAACCUUACCAAGGCUUGACAUACACGAGAACGGGCCAGAAAUGGUCAACUCUUUGGACACUCGUGAACAGGUGGUGCAUGGUUGUCGUCAGCUCGUGUCGUGAGAUGUUGGGUUAAGUCCCGCAACGAGCGCAACCC
RNAcentral lists this ribosomal RNA (697 nucleotides) under Microbacterium esteraromaticum. RNAcentral describes it as "bacterial SSU rRNA". It matches the Rfam family "Bacterial small subunit ribosomal RNA", at positions 396 to 1104 of the family's 1533-position model. Lineage: Bacteria; Bacillati; Actinomycetota; Actinomycetes; Micrococcales; Microbacteriaceae. The record is from RNAcentral.